GAUGAAGAACGCAGCGAAAUGCGAUACUUGGAGUGAAUUGCAGAAUCCCGUGAACCAUCGAGUCUUUGAACGCAAGUUGCGCCUCAAGCCAUUAGGUUGAGGGCACGUCUGCCUGGGCGUCACAUAUCGUUGCCUGAUGCCAGUUUCCUCGUGAUGGGUGACUGUGCAGGGCGAAUGAUGGCUUCCCGUGAGCAUUGUUGCCUCAUGGUUGGUUGAAAAUUGAGUCCUUGGUAGGGAGCGCCGUGAUAGAUGGUGGUUGAGUGACGAACGAGACCCAAUCAUGUGAGACCCCUACCGAAUUUGGCCUUCAUGACCCACAUGCGUCUUUGGAACGCUCAUGACGAGACCUCAGGUCAGGCGGGGCUACCCGCUGAGUUUAAGCAUAUCAAUAAGCGGAGGA
This 400-nucleotide unclassified non-coding RNA is filed under the name soil metagenome. Its description in RNAcentral is "partial contains 5.8S ribosomal RNA, internal transcribed spacer 2, and large subunit ribosomal RNA". The stretch from base 1 to 122 matches the Rfam family "5.8S ribosomal RNA", at positions 35 to 154 of the family's 154-position model. The record is from RNAcentral.